ACGGAAUAGAUACCCCGGUAGUCCACGCCCUAAACGAUGUCUACUAGUUGUUGGUGGAGUAAAAUCCAUGAGUAAACGCAGCUAAACGCGUGAAGUAGACCGCCUGGGGAGUACGGCCGCAAGAUUAAAACUCAAAUGAAUUGACGGGGGCCCGCACAAGCGGUGGAUUAUGUGGAUUAAAUUCGAUGCAACGCGAAAAACCUUACCUGGCCUUGACAUGUAACGAACUUUCCAGAGAUGGAUUGGUGCUCGAAAGAGAACGUUAACACAGGUGCUGCAUGGCUGUCGUCAGCUCGUGUCGUGAGAUGUUGGGUUAAGUCCCGCAACGAGCGCAACCCUUGCCAUUAAUUGCCAUCAUUUAGUUGGGCACUUUAAUGGGACUGCCGGUGACAAACCGGAGGAA
Molecule: ribosomal RNA, 403 nt
Filed under: uncultured bacterium
Lineage: Bacteria
Description: bacterial SSU rRNA
Rfam family: Bacterial small subunit ribosomal RNA
Source: RNAcentral